GCAGGGAUGGCGGAAUUGGCAGACGCGCAGGCUUCAGGUGCCUGUGAUCGCAAGGUCGUGAGGGUUCAAGUCCCUUUCCCUGCA
RNAcentral lists this transfer RNA (84 nucleotides) under Lachnospiraceae bacterium. RNAcentral describes it as "tRNA-Leu". It matches the Rfam family "tRNA". Rfam says of the family: Transfer RNA (tRNA) molecules are approximately 80 nucleotides in length. Their secondary structure includes four short double-helical elements and three loops (D, anti-codon, and T loops). Lineage: Bacteria; Bacillati; Bacillota; Clostridia; Lachnospirales; Lachnospiraceae. The record is from RNAcentral.